GCAGUCGAGCGCCCCGCAAGGGGAGCGGCAGACGGGUGAGUAACGCGUGGGAACAUACCCUCCGGUUCGGAAUAACUCAGGGAAACUUGAGCUAAUACCGGAUACGCCCUUACGGGGAAAGAUUUAUUGCUGAAGGAACGGCCCGCGUCGGAUUAGCUUGUUGGUGAGGUAAUGGCUCACCAAGGCGACGAUCCGUAGCUGGUCUGAGAGGAUGACCAGCCUCACUGGGACUGAGACACGGCCCAGACUCCCACGGGAGGCAGCAGUGGGGAAUCUUGCGCAAUGGUCUAACGACUGACGCAGCGACGCCGCGUGUGGGAGGACGCCUUUCGGGGUGUAAACCACUGUUGCCCGGGACGAACAGCCCUUUUCGAGGGGUCUGACGGUACCGGGUGAGGAAGCACCGGCUAACUCCGUGCCAGCAGCCGCGGUAAUACGGAGGGUGCGAGCGUUGUCCGGAAUCAUUGGGCGUAAAGGGCGCGUAGGUGGCGCAGCAAGCGUGCGGUGAAAGCUCGGGGCUCAACCCCGAGUCGGCCGUGCGAACUGCUGGGCUCGAGCACUGUAGAGGCAGGCGGAAUUCCGGGUGUAGCGGUGGAAUGCGUAGAGAUCCGGAAGAACACCGGUGGCGAAGGCGGCCUGCUGGGCAGUAGCUGACACUGAGGCGCGACAGCGUGGGGAGCAAACAGGAUUAGAUACCCUGGUAGAAUCACUAGUGAAUUC
This 720-nucleotide ribosomal RNA is filed under the name uncultured bacterium. Its description in RNAcentral is "bacterial SSU rRNA". It matches the Rfam family "Bacterial small subunit ribosomal RNA", at positions 57 to 809 of the family's 1533-position model. The record is from RNAcentral.